CUAUCAGUUCCUUGUGUCAAGCCCCUCACAGCAGCCUCCUGGCACAGCUCUCAAGGCCCUCCUUGACAGGGCCCGCCUCCUCUGCUCUCACCAGGGCUGCUCUCUGUCUGCCCCCUCCCCCCACGAGGCAUCCAUUUAGAUCUGCAUGCGAUGAUUCCCCUGCUGUGUUCUCUCAGGGUUGUGUCAUUUUAUCUUGAAUCUGUUCUGAGCUCAUAGCCUGGCUGACAUCAGGAAUUCGGGGAUGCUAUGGAGGGGUGGAGGAGGAGGGAAGAGAAGGAAAGAAAAGGAAGGGAAGAGAAGGGACCUGGAGAAAGAAAACAAGGAGAAGCAAGAAAGAAGGGGGGAAGCAAGGAGAGAGGGGAGAGGGAGGGAGGGAGAGAGGCUGGCUUAACAAAGUCUCUCAGUUUCUCUUUGAAACCCAGUCUCUCCUUCAUGAAAUAACACCUAUUCUGUUUAGUGAACAGGCUUUGGGGGUGAGAUGAAGAAAAGAUUGUGAAAGGUUCAGGCAUUAUGUUGGCCUGCCCCUGUUACUUGAUGGAAUCCACUCAGGCAAUACCCUGGUCAGCCCAAGGUUCCAUGGGAAAGAAGUCUGCACGCAGGUGCAGAGGACCCCUUAAAAAGAUAGGCCCCUGCCCCCUUUUUUUCUUUCUCUCUCUCUCCCCGUCUCUCUCUGUGUGUGUGCUCUCCCGUCUCUGUUUCCCCUCUCUGUCUCUCUAUGGCGACCGGCCAUGGCGGUCAGCCAUUACCCUGUUCCUCCUCUUAGUCUCCCCAUUCCAUUCUGCCUUAUAAUAAACUUAUAGUCUUAAGUCAAUAUGUCUGUCUCAAUAUUUCUCUUUUCUUCUUUUUAAACAAAAGAAUAACAUUUUGGCGCCCAACGUGGAAAGGCUCUGCCCUUAUACCUUCUGCGACCUGCUGGCGGGCGCUGGUUAGGCAAGGGCAACCUUAUAGCCCACUUCCAUCUUCGCAGCCUGAGAUGCCGGAACUCAACUUGCCAUUUUCCAACUAAGUAUUUCUGGAACUCACUGAUCUGCCUAUUCGCUACAAUCCGCUUUUUGUAACAGAGAGAUAGGCCAGCUGCUGGCCCCACCCCAUUUCCUCCGAGAAGACUGGGCACUGAAGAAACUUCAUCUCAGUGACAACGCUGGUCACUGAGCAACCCUGCCCUUCACCUCAACUGGUACAAA
Molecule: long non-coding RNA, 1184 nt
Filed under: Cricetulus griseus (Chinese hamster)
Lineage: Eukaryota; Metazoa; Chordata; Mammalia; Rodentia; Cricetidae
Description: lncRNA (ENSCGRG00015036119.1)
Source: RNAcentral